Long non-coding RNA from Ooceraea biroi (clonal raider ant), 612 nucleotides. RefSeq lists it as uncharacterized. The record is from RefSeq and is a predicted model, not a curated record. NCBI's taxonomy places the organism in Eukaryota, Metazoa, Arthropoda, Insecta, Hymenoptera, Formicidae.
ACCCGCUUCUAUGCCAUCUGCGCUUUCGCCAUAUCGCUUAUCACACUGCAUUGUAUGUACAUACAACGUAUGCGCCACGAUCGAUUGCUAUUAAUUGUACCAUAUGUAUCAUCGGACGAAUAAAAUCAUUGAUGUAUCGUGGAUAACACUUUCAGUCUUGGGAUAUGGAACGUUUCCGAUUCGCUGCUGCUUCCAUAUGUUGCGUUUACAUUGCGCGCGCUCGGUAUAAGAAUUGCAUCCAAUACGCAACGCGCAAUCCUAAUCCGCUGUAGUUAAUUGCCUAAAAACAAAAUUUUUUAAGGGAAAGUUGUAUGAAAUACGCUAUUUAAAUGACUCUGGAAUAUUGGUGUAUAUAUAACGUCUUUACUAAAAUCGAUUGUGUCCGUGUAUGUAAGUUACACGUAAAGUAGAAAGAGAGAGAAACAGGGUCAAGUCAAUAUUGCAACAUUCCGGACACUAAAGAUCGUGUUUCAAUCAGAUAAUUCAGAACAUUCGUUUCACGAACACUCUAUUUCAUCAAGACGAAAAGUAAUCUAAUAACAACUUCAACAGUAGUUUUGCUGAUAAACUCUGGCAAUUAAACCAUAUAAAGGUCUUGACAUAAGGAAAAAA